CUCGUAGGUGGCUUUGUAAGUCGGAGGUGAAAGACCACGGCUCAACCGUGGAAACGCCUUCGAAACUGUGAAGCUUGAGGCUGGGAGAGGAAAUCGGAAUUCCUGGUGUAGCGGUGAAAUGCGUAGAUAUCAGGAGGAACACCGGUGGCGAAGGCGGAUUUCUGGACCAGUUCUGACACUGAUGAGCGAAAGCCAGGGGAAGCAAACA
Molecule: ribosomal RNA, 208 nt
Filed under: uncultured bacterium
Lineage: Bacteria
Description: partial 16S ribosomal RNA
Rfam family: Bacterial small subunit ribosomal RNA
Source: RNAcentral